This 433-nucleotide ribosomal RNA is filed under the name uncultured bacterium. Its description in RNAcentral is "partial 16S ribosomal RNA". It matches the Rfam family "Bacterial small subunit ribosomal RNA", at positions 29 to 507 of the family's 1533-position model. The record is from RNAcentral.
AACGAACGCUGGCGGCAUGCCUAACACAUGCAAGUCGAACGAGACCUUCGGGUCUAGUGGCGCACGGGUGCGUAACGCGUGGGAAUCUGCCCUUGGGUUCGGAAUAACAGUUGGAAACGACUGCUAAUACCGGAUGAUGAUGUAAGUCCAAAGAUUUAUCGCCCAAGGAUGAGCCCGCGUAGGAUUAGCUAGUUGGUGAGGUAAAGGCUCACCAAGGCGACGAUCCUUAGCUGGUCUGAGAGGAUGAUCAGCCACACUGGGACUGAGACACGGCCCAGACUCCUACGGGAGGCAGCAGUGGGGAAUAUUGGACAAUGGGCGAAAGCCUGAUCCAGCAAUGCCGCGUGAGUGAUGAAGGCCUUAGGGUUGUAAAGCUCUUUUACCCGGGAUGAUAAUGACAGUACCGGGAGAAUAAGCUCCGGCUAACUCCGUG